UAUUGCUUCUAGGUUGAGGUUCUUAUGCAUAUGUGCGUGUUUGUUUGAGUUCACAUUAUGAACAUCUUAGUCUUAUAAUUCUCUUACUGUUUUUUUAUCUUUUCAGGAUGACACUGCAUUUGAAAAGCAGAGUGCUCUUUUUGCUCUUGCUGUUUCUGACAUAGUACUCAUAAAUAUGUGGUGUCAUGAUAUAGGGCGUGAACAGGCUGCAAAUAAACCCCUCUUAAAAACAGUAUUUCAGGUUAUGAUGAGAUUAUUCAGUCCUCGUAGGACAACUUUGAUGUUUAUUAUUCGUGAUAAAACCAGGGUAUGUUUUUCUU
Salvia hispanica is the source of this 320-nucleotide non-coding RNA. The record is from RefSeq and is a predicted model, not a curated record. NCBI's taxonomy places the organism in Eukaryota, Viridiplantae, Streptophyta, Magnoliopsida, Lamiales, Lamiaceae.